AUAAGCUUUUGUGUGAUAUAAAUGUUCAUUUUUAUGAAAUGAGUAGUACAGAGAUGUAUGGAGAUCAGACAUUUUAUUGUAUUUAAGAAAGUUCAUAGGUGUCAAAAUUGCAUUGUACGAGUGCCUUGUAUAACCAGUGUUACCAGGGAUGAAAUAUGCGUGUACCUUCAAAUAGGCAUGAUAAUUAUGAAUUUCUAUAUUCAAUACACUCCUCUAACUGAGGUACUUUUGGUAAUGAAGAAUUUGAGUACUGUGGACCAUAUCGUUCUUUAAACUUCUUU
RNAcentral lists this long non-coding RNA (281 nucleotides) under Gallus gallus (chicken). RNAcentral's name for it is "long non-coding RNA NONGGAT008951". The record is from RNAcentral. Lineage: Eukaryota; Metazoa; Chordata; Aves; Galliformes; Phasianidae.